Molecule: ribosomal RNA, 251 nt
Filed under: uncultured bacterium
Lineage: Bacteria
Description: partial 16S ribosomal RNA
Rfam family: Bacterial small subunit ribosomal RNA
Source: RNAcentral
ACGUAGGGAGCGAGCGUUAUCCGGAUUUAUUGGGUUUAAAGGGUGCGUAGGCGGUUUGUUUAGUUAGAGGUGAAAUCCCGGGGCUCAACUCCGGAACUGCCUCUGAUACUGGCAAACUAGAGAAUGGUUGCUGUGGGCGGAAUGCGUGGUGUAGCGGUGAAAUGCUUAGAGAUCACGCAGAACACCGAUUGCGUAGGCAGCUCACAAGGCCAUAUCUGACGCUGAAGCACGAAAGCGUGGGGAGCAAACAG